This 468-nucleotide ribosomal RNA is filed under the name uncultured bacterium. Its description in RNAcentral is "partial 16S ribosomal RNA". It matches the Rfam family "Bacterial small subunit ribosomal RNA", at positions 28 to 507 of the family's 1533-position model. The record is from RNAcentral.
GACGAACGCUGGCGGCGUGCUUAACACAUGCAAGUCGAACGGAAAGGCCCUGCUUUUGUGGGGUGCUCGAGUGGCGAACGGGUGAGUAACACGUGAGUAACCUGCCCCUGACUUUGGGAUAACUCCAGGAGACUGGGGCUAAUACCGCAUAGGAGCUCCUGCUUCAUGGGGGGGGUUGGAAAGAUUCGGCGGUUGGGGAUGGACUCGGGGCUUAUCAGCUUGUUGGUGGGGUAGUGGCUUACCAAGGCUUUGACGGGUAGCCGGCCUGAGAGGGUGACCGGCCACAUUGGGACUGAGAUGCGGCCCAGACUCAUACGGGGGGCAGCAGUGGGGAAUAUUGUGCACUGGGCGGAAUCCUGAUGCAGCAACGCCGGGUGCGAGAUGACUGCCUUCGGGUUGUAACCCGCUUUCGCCUGUGACGAAGCGUGAGUGACGGUAAUGGGUAAAGAAGCACCGGCUAACUACGUG